Molecule: RNA transcript, 4150 nt
Organism: Stegostoma tigrinum
Lineage: Eukaryota; Metazoa; Chordata; Chondrichthyes; Orectolobiformes; Stegostomatidae
Gene name: arginine and glutamate-rich protein 1-like
Exons: 3
Source: RefSeq, a predicted model, not a curated record
UGUGGGUGCAGGUGCCGAGCCGCUCUGCCAUAUUUACCAGAGCCGCCAUUUUGUCGCUGUUGCCGCCGCGUCUCCGUGGGCGAGGCCUCGGGGAAUCUGCGGCCGCUGGAAGCCCUCGACCGGGAAAAGCGAUAAACUCGAGCGUCGGGCGGACGGGAGAGGGGGAAGUGAGUUAGUCCAGGGUGUGAUCUUUGAUCCGUGCGUCCCCUCGUUGUUUCCCCCACGCCACCGACUUGAGCCGGGCUCCCCGCCGCCGGCGGCGGCUGCUGCUGCUGCUGCGAUGGGCCGGUCUCGGAGUCGCAGCUCGUCGCGCUCGAAGCACGCCAAGAGCAGCAAGCACGGCAAGCGGCGGACCCGGUCGCACUCGCGGGACAAGGAGAGGCCGCGCAAACGCUCCAAGUCCCGGGAGAAGAAGAGCCGCCGGCACGCGGCCAACCGGGAGUCGCGCUCCCGCUCCCGCUGCCGGACCACCCCGGAGCGCAUCGACAUCUUCGGCCGCAACCUGAGCAAGAGGAGCAGCCUGGAUGAGAAACAGAAGCGGGAGGAGGAGGAGAAGAAAGCCGAGCUGGAGAGGCAGCGCAAGAUUCGACAGCAGGAAAUAGAAGAGAAGCUGAUUGAGGAAGAAACUGCAAGAAGGGUGGAAGAACUUGUGGCCAAACGUGUGGAAGAGGAGUUGGAGAAACGGAAAGAUGAGAUUGAGCGUGAGGUACUCCGCCGUGUCGAGGAGGCCAAGCGCAUUAUGGAAAAGCAAUUGUUGGAGGAGCUUGAGCGACAGCGACAUGCUGAGCUCGCUGCACAGAAAGCUAGAGAGGUAACGCUCGAUCGUUGGAAAAGCAAACGACAGUCCAUGGCAAAACUUUCAGUCGCAGUCAAUGGUCACCACUUAAUCUUCAGUAAAUGGAAUCAGAAUACAUCUUACCCUUUUCCAGCAGUCUGCAGUACCAUAGCUUUGUUUUUCAUAAGUUGUAUUUCUUCAGAUGUACAAAUGAACAUUUCAUAAUAGUUUAAGAUGCUAAAUGUAGUUUUUAAUUAGGCUACACAAAGCAUUGUUCCAUGGCAUUUGCUCUUUAAAUUCAAGAACUUUUGGUAAAAUAAUACUAAUGUUCCAGCAUAACCUCUGUUGAAAAUCUUUUCAGUUUAAUUGAAACUUUUGCCAUGGCUGCAGAAAUUUUUACCUAACCAUGCAAAAGCUCUUUUCUUUAAGGCUUUUCAGUCUCGCAAUUUGCCCUUCAUUUGUGUAAACACUUUGUAUUUCGUACUUAUUCCAAGUGGCUUAGUCUUUCCAAAGCUGAAGUAGGUCAAUGUGGUUGAACUUGCAGUGCUUGCUUAUGGCAAGUGGUUUAUGUUUGCAAUAUAUUCAUCUUGAAUAAGAUUAUAAAGGGGAAAUUUUACCUUGAGGUUUCUGAUAUCAGCCUCCAUUUUAUUCAAAGGAUUCUUGUGGGACUGGAGCUAGUCCUUUGUAACCCACCACCAGCGUGUAGUUAUAAGUACCUUUACCUCCCAAGAGGGCUAUUGGCGACUGGUGAGUCCCUCCUUGAAGCUAGACAUCCUAUAUAUUAUUUGGUCAUGGUACUAGAACCUGGAAAAUGUCUUCCUAUGAAAUAGUGAAUUGCUACUUUUAUUAAUUUUGCUAGCACUCAUCACUCCUGGAUUCUGAAAUGAAACGUUUAGUCUUACAGUACCUAGGUGACCAUACAACUUCAAAAAUGUAACAUUAACCAUUUGAGUAUAAAGUAAUUUAGGGAAGUGGUGGUGCAGGGUAAUUUCACUGGACAAUAGAACCCCGGCUAAUAUUUGGAAACAUGGGUUUGAAUCUCGCCACACCAGAUUUGAAUUCAGUAAAAAAGCUGGCUUAAUGGCAACCAGGUAACCCCUUGUGGAUUGCUGUAAAAGUACUUCAGGGAUGGAGAUCUGCUGUAUUCCAGACUCUCAGCUGUAUGGUUGACUUUACCUCCCUGUCAGCAAUUAGGAAUGAACAAUAAAUGAAGGCCUAGCCAGCAAAGCACUCAUCCUAUGAAUAUUUUUUAAAACCACCAUUUUAACAAUGUGUGCAUUUUCUUUCAAGUAAUAUAUUUAAACGUUAAUGUCAGGCAUUGUUAUAUAGAAUUAGGACUGAAGCACACAAUAGUGCUUUGUUUACUGUUUGUUUUAUCUGAUGUUACUUUGUGAAGUUUUUAUGGUGACAACCUGUUUAUACUGAGCAAAAAAUUGAAGCCCCAGUUCCAUUUUUGUAUAUUUAUGCCAAAUAUUUACACAUUAUGUCAGUGACAUUAUAAACAUUUAGAUGUUUAAUUUCCUUUGUUUUAUAAUUUUCAAAGGGUAUUAAUUUCCCUGAGAUUCUGCCCCUACCUUUUGGGAAGUUUGCAUCUUUUACAUAAUUGAUCAUAUUUACUUGUAAAUGGCAGAGGGAGAUAAUAGCAUAAUCUCAUGAUCUCAAAUUCAGACCUAAGGCUUAAUUUUGGAUCUUUGGUUCCCCUUUCCCGUUGUGUUUAUUUCAGUAUAUUUCACAUUCAUUUUAUGCCCUCCCCUAUUCGUCGACCUUCAUACCUCAAUUCAGACACAAACAAAAUCAAAGCCUAAACUUAGAAUUAAUGUAUAGAAUUAAUAUGACCUAAACACUUGGAAAAGAAAUCCAUGUGUAAAGUUAUUUACUUUGUAUAAAAUAUAAAAAUAUACUGAUAGCUUUAAUACCCCUCCUUUUCUGAAAGGUAAGAAUGAAUUAUAUCUGUUUGUCUUGUAUUGUCGUGUUGUUAACGCAUUUAGUGAUCGCCAGUGCAAAGCCAUUGGAUGAAAAGGACUUCAUAUUUUUCUUCAAAGGGAUGGUGGUUAGUUUGUUUUGCUGAUAAAGUGUACUGGUUAUUCCUCUAGGUAUAAAACCACCAGAAGUUUUGGCUACAUUGACUUACUGACGUAUUUUACAAGUAAUUAAGUUUUGGUAACUUGUAACUUCUUGCUUUAAUCAAUUGACAUCAAGUGAAGGAGAUUUUUUGUUUACACAGUUGGUCUAUCAGAAGAUUUGUCAUUUCAGAAUGUUCUUGUUUGCAGCAUUGAAGGGGGAAUCAUUCUACAUUUUCUUUACGUUUAAUGCAUCAAAGAGUGGCAUAAAAUGUGUUAGGAAAAUACUGUAGCUAAUUUACAUGACAUUUUCAUAAAAUUAAAGACCUUCAAAGUGAGUUUAUAUUCUGAAACACUAUUGUAAGUUGCAUGAUAGCCAGUGCUGCCUCAUUUUUGUGUUUUCUUUCCGUUUUAGUUGAAAACGUUCAGCGUAUUGAUUUACUGUAAGAUGUCUAUUAUGUUAUGAUUUGCAUUCUAACUUAUUUAUAUCCAGGCUAUUUUAAGUUCCAGGGUUGAUGAGUGUCAGCUUGUAGCACAUUACUAAUCAUAGUAAGAUCAUUUUUCUUUUUCAUGUUUCUUCAUAGUUUGCUUGGCUUCAUGUUAACAUUGUCAUCCUACAGACAAGGGCAAAUUUCCUGGGCCAUUCACAGUACAGAAAAUAUAAUUUUCCGUUCUGUGUACAUUGUGAAAUUGUUUACAUUAAACACCUGGAAGGUGUUUGUCUGAAUUCUGCAGCAGAGUAGUCUCCAAACGUUGAAGCAUAUUUAGUAGCUGAAGUAGAUCAUUAUAAAAUCUUUGGAUCCCAAAAUUAGUAUAAAUCAUUCAGCCUUUACUCAUCCCCUGUAAUAACAAAGUGCCUUGAUUUGAAAAGUUGCUUGAUCACCAGUAGCUUAAAUGGCGUUUAUGUUCUCAGAACGGAACAAACCAUCGUUUCUCCUACUGUGAAAGGUGCUCUCAGUUCCACACAAGGAUGGAUUAAAGUUUGUAUUUUUCACUAACAGUAAAUGUAUCUUUCUUAUUAAUUGUUUGCCUUAGGAAUGGUGAUUUAUAUUGUUUCUUCUUACCGUAAACAUCUGCAUUCCUCAGCUCAGCCUACGUUGUGUUGUGUUUCUUGUUAUUGGCUGAGCUGCUGAUGCAGGUGUUGCCAAGCUAACAGUACAAAUCAGUUUAAAGAGGAAGCUGGCGCAUAUGGCAGCCGAGGAGCACACUCUGCAGGACACUGGACGAGACAGAGGAAGAACGAGCUAAACGAGAAGAACUUGAGCGAAUAUUGGAGGAAAAUAAUCGAAAAAUAGCAGAAGCUCAAGCUAAAUUG